RNAcentral lists this ribosomal RNA (2892 nucleotides) under Escherichia coli. RNAcentral's name for it is "bacterial LSU rRNA". It matches the Rfam family "Bacterial large subunit ribosomal RNA". The record is from RNAcentral. Lineage: Bacteria; Pseudomonadati; Pseudomonadota; Gammaproteobacteria; Enterobacterales; Enterobacteriaceae.
ACUAAGCGUACACGGUGGAUGCCCUGGCAGUCAGAGGCGAUGAAGGACGUGCUAAUCUGCGAUAAGCGUCGGUAAGGUGAUAUGAACCGUUAUAACCGGCGAUUUCCGAAUGGGGAAACCCAGUGUGAUUCGUCACACUAUCAUUAACUGAAUCCAUAGGUUAAUGAGGCGAACCGGGGGAACUGAAACAUCUAAGUACCCCGAGGAAAAGAAAUCAACCGAGAUUCCCCCAGUAGCGGCGAGCGAACGGGGAGCAGCCCAGAGCCUGAAUCAGUGUGUGUGUUAGUGGAAGCGUCUGGAAAGGCGUGCGAUACAGGGUGACAGCCCCGUACACAAAAAUGCACAUGCUGUGAGCUCGAUGAGUAGGGCGGGACACGUGGUAUCCUGUCUGAAUAUGGGGGGACCAUCCUCCAAGGCUAAAUACUCCUGACUGACCGAUAGUGAACCAGUACCGUGAGGGAAAGGCGAAAAGAACCCCGGCGAGGGGAGUGAAAAAGAACCUGAAACCGUGUACGUACAAGCAGUGGGAGCACGCUUAGGCGUGUGACUGCGUACCUUUUGUAUAAUGGGUCAGCGACUUAUAUUCUGUAGCAAGGUUAACCGAAUAGGGGAGCCGAAGGGAAACCGAGUCUUAACUGGGCGUUAAGUUGCAGGGUAUAGACCCGAAACCCGGUGAUCUAGCCAUGGGCAGGUUGAAGGUUGGGUAACACUAACUGGAGGACCGAACCGACUAAUGUUGAAAAAUUAGCGGAUGACUUGUGGCUGGGGGUGAAAGGCCAAUCAAACCGGGAGAUAGCUGGUUCUCCCCGAAAGCUAUUUAGGUAGCGCCUCGUGAAUUCAUCUCCGGGGGUAGAGCACUGUUUCGGCAAGGGGGUCAUCCCGACUUACCAACCCGAUGCAAACUGCGAAUACCGGAGAAUGUUAUCACGGGAGACACACGGCGGGUGCUAACGUCCGUCGUGAAGAGGGAAACAACCCAGACCGCCAGCUAAGGUCCCAAAGUCAUGGUUAAGUGGGAAACGAUGUGGGAAGGCCCAGACAGCCAGGAUGUUGGCUUAGAAGCAGCCAUCAUUUAAAGAAAGCGUAAUAGCUCACUGGUCGAGUCGGCCUGCGCGGAAGAUGUAACGGGGCUAAACCAUGCACCGAAGCUGCGGCAGCGACACUGUGUGUUGUUGGGUAGGGGAGCGUUCUGUAAGCCUGCGAAGGUGUGCUGUGAGGCAUGCUGGAGGUAUCAGAAGUGCGAAUGCUGACAUAAGUAACGAUAAAGCGGGUGAAAAGCCCGCUCGCCGGAAGACCAAGGGUUCCUGUCCAACGUUAAUCGGGGCAGGGUGAGUCGACCCCUAAGGCGAGGCCGAAAGGCGUAGUCGAUGGGAAACAGGUUAAUAUUCCUGUACUUGGUGUUACUGCGAAGGGGGGACGGAGAAGGCUAUGUUGGCCGGGCGACGGUUGUCCCGGUUUAAGCGUGUAGGCUGGUUUUCCAGGCAAAUCCGGAAAAUCAAGGCUGAGGCGUGAUGACGAGGCACUACGGUGCUGAAGCAACAAAUGCCCUGCUUCCAGGAAAAGCCUCUAAGCAUCAGGUAACAUCAAAUCGUACCCCAAACCGACACAGGUGGUCAGGUAGAGAAUACCAAGGCGCUUGAGAGAACUCGGGUGAAGGAACUAGGCAAAAUGGUGCCGUAACUUCGGGAGAAGGCACGCUGAUAUGUAGGUGAAGUCCCUCGCGGAUGGAGCUGAAAUCAGUCGAAGAUACCAGCUGGCUGCAACUGUUUAUUAAAAACACAGCACUGUGCAAACACGAAAGUGGACGUAUACGGUGUGACGCCUGCCCGGUGCCGGAAGGUUAAUUGAUGGGGUCAGCGCAAGCGAAGCUCUUGAUCGAAGCCCCGGUAAACGGCGGCCGUAACUAUAACGGUCCUAAGGUAGCGAAAUUCCUUGUCGGGUAAGUUCCGACCUGCACGAAUGGCGUAAUGAUGGCCAGGCUGUCUCCACCCGAGACUCAGUGAAAUUGAACUCGCUGUGAAGAUGCAGUGUACCCGCGGCAAGACGGAAAGACCCCGUGAACCUUUACUAUAGCUUGACACUGAACAUUGAGCCUUGAUGUGUAGGAUAGGUGGGAGGCUUUGAAGUGUGGACGCCAGUCUGCAUGGAGCCGACCUUGAAAUACCACCCUUUAAUGUUUGAUGUUCUAACGUUGACCCGUGAUCCGGGUUGCGGACAGUGUCUGGUGGGUAGUUUGACUGGGGCGGUCUCCUCCUAAAGAGUAACGGAGGAGCACGAAGGUUGGCUAAUCCUGGUCGGACAUCAGGAGGUUAGUGCAAUGGCAUAAGCCAGCUUGACUGCGAGCGUGACGGCGCGAGCAGGUGCGAAAGCAGGUCAUAGUGAUCCGGUGGUUCUGAAUGGAAGGGCCAUCGCUCAACGGAUAAAAGGUACUCCGGGGAUAACAGGCUGAUACCGCCCAAGAGUUCAUAUCGACGGCGGUGUUUGGCACCUCGAUGUCGGCUCAUCACAUCCUGGGGCUGAAGUAGGUCCCAAGGGUAUGGCUGUUCGCCAUUUAAAGUGGUACGCGAGCUGGGUUUAGAACGUCGUGAGACAGUUCGGUCCCUAUCUGCCGUGGGCGCUGGAGAACUGAGGGGGGCUGCUCCUAGUACGAGAGGACCGGAGUGGACGCAUCACUGGUGUUCGGGUUGUCAUGCCAAUGGCACUGCCCGGUAGCUAAAUGCGGAAGAGAUAAGUGCUGAAAGCAUCUAAGCACGAAACUUGCCCCGAGAUGAGUUCUCCCUGACUCCUUGAGAGUCCUGAAGGAACGUUGAAGACGACGACGUUGAUAGGCCGGGUGUGUAAGCGCAGCGAUGCGUUGAGCUAACCGGUACUAAUGAACCGUGAGGCUUAACC